CAAAUGCUCCAGACCGCUCUCUCUCCACCUACCCUGAGCCUAGCACUCUCCUCCCAGAAGAGCUAUUUCAGCAGGCCCAAACUGAUCCAGCUUCUGGAGGUUUUAUUCCCAGUUCAGAUCCUGAGAGGUCAUCUCAUCAUGGAGACCCCAAAGCUGGGGAGGACUCUGCAGUGCGGGUGCAAGGUGAUCCUCUUUUCCUAAACCUGAGAGCAGUCUGUGUAGGAAGAAGACAGGUCUGAUGUGAACGGCGCCCGGGAUGUGUCUGGGAGAAGGAAGACGAGAAGAAGAGCUCAAGUCUCGUGUUUUGCCAGAAGGAGAAGGAACACAGCGUCCUCGCGAGCGAGGCUUGUUCUAAACUUAGCCAGCUCCUGUGGUUCCAAAGUUGGCAAAAU
Long non-coding RNA from Molossus molossus (Pallas's mastiff bat), 392 nucleotides. RefSeq lists it as uncharacterized. The transcript has 2 exons. NCBI's taxonomy places the organism in Eukaryota, Metazoa, Chordata, Mammalia, Chiroptera, Molossidae. The record is from RefSeq and is a predicted model, not a curated record.